Molecule: RNA transcript, 334 nt
Organism: Drosophila busckii
Lineage: Eukaryota; Metazoa; Arthropoda; Insecta; Diptera; Drosophilidae
Exons: 2
Source: RefSeq, a predicted model, not a curated record
AGUACAUUCUCCAACAACAGAAGCAAGUCUUACAGAAAAAUUGGCCCCAGGUGCCGCCACUGGCUCAGUGAGUCCAGAUGCGGAGCAAUGUUCAGUUGCUGUGCCAGUGGCAAAAAUAUCACCAACUCGUAGAGAUCUGCACACAAAUGACGUGUCUCUCUUGGCUAUGGCUGCGACUUUGGAUGCCAUUGGUGAGAGACUAAGGGAUCAAAAAGCACGCAACCAAGAGAUUAUUGAUCGACUUAACGAAAUCGAAAAAAUCUUGAACAAACCCAAGUAGUAGUUAAUGUACAAUGUUAAAUAGUUAAAAGAAUAAAGCGCAUCGAAAUAUAAA